GACCCAUUGGUACAGUGGUUAGCACGUGGAGCUGUUAAUACUGGUCGAUUAUUCGACUACAAAACUCUAAGGUCGCUGGUUCGAUUCCAGCAUGGGUCG
Molecule: transfer RNA, 99 nt
Filed under: Malassezia japonica
Lineage: Eukaryota; Fungi; Basidiomycota; Malasseziomycetes; Malasseziales; Malasseziaceae
Description: tRNA-Asn
Rfam family: tRNA
About the family: Transfer RNA (tRNA) molecules are approximately 80 nucleotides in length. Their secondary structure includes four short double-helical elements and three loops (D, anti-codon, and T loops). Further hydrogen bonds mediate the characteristic L-shaped molecular structure. tRNAs have two regions of fundamental functional importance: the anti-codon, which is responsible for specific mRNA codon recognition, and the 3' end, to which the tRNAs corresponding amino acid is attached (by aminoacyl-tRNA synthetases). tRNAs cope with the degeneracy of the genetic code in two manners: having more than one tRNA (with a specific anti-codon) for a particular amino acid; and 'wobble' base-pairing, i.e. permitting non-standard base-pairing at the 3rd anti-codon position.
Source: RNAcentral